Molecule: long non-coding RNA, 214 nt
Filed under: Lathyrus oleraceus (garden pea)
Lineage: Eukaryota; Viridiplantae; Streptophyta; Magnoliopsida; Fabales; Fabaceae
Description: Pisum sativum (pea) long non-coding RNA (PSAT_LNC021423)
Source: RNAcentral
UAUAAAGGAAUAAUAGAUAUACAAUUCAUUGAUAGGGAUCAUCAAUGAGCUAAUAUAUUUACUAAACCUCUAGCUAUUAAAAGAUUUCAUUUUAUUAAAAUGAAUCUGAACAUUCUUUUUUGUAAAGGAGUAAUGUUUUCUUCUAGGUGAGGGAUCAAAGUCUGACGAUGAUGAUCAAAAGUCACUACAAUCACAGUCUGUCUUAGCCUCUAAU